UACGGAGGGUCCGAGCGUUAAUCGGAAUUACUGGGCGUAAAGCGCGCGUAGGUGGUUCAGUCAGUCAGAUGUGAAAGCCCCGGGCUCAACCUGGGAAUUGCACCUGAUACUGCUGAGCUAGAGUACGGUAGAGGGUAGUGGAAUUUCCGGUGUAGCGGUGAAAUGCGUAGAGAUCGGAAGGAACACCAGUGGCGAAGGCGACUACCUGGACCGAUACUGACACUGAGGUGCGAAAGCGUGGGUAGCAAACAGG
Molecule: ribosomal RNA, 253 nt
Filed under: uncultured bacterium
Lineage: Bacteria
Also listed under: 1 other name
Description: partial 16S ribosomal RNA
Rfam family: Bacterial small subunit ribosomal RNA
Source: RNAcentral